This is a long non-coding RNA of Cebus imitator (Panamanian white-faced capuchin), 474 nucleotides long. RefSeq lists it as uncharacterized. NCBI's taxonomy places the organism in Eukaryota, Metazoa, Chordata, Mammalia, Primates, Cebidae. The record is from RefSeq and is a predicted model, not a curated record. The transcript has 3 exons.
UGGGCAGAAAUACACCCGGAAAAGGACAUAACUAAACCAGUUUUAUCAGAGCAGGCUGCCUGAGAGAGAUCAAGCAGGGCACAGGCCACCAGGUUUGCCCCUGGGCUCCUGCCACAGCUGAUCAGGUGCUAGGUGCUAAGGAUAUGCAUAGGGGAGAAAGCAAUUGGAUGGAUGUGAAGCUCUUCAAAGGAGACCUACAAAGUCAUCUUUGUUUUGUUCUUUCUUCUCAUGUUUCUGCAUUCUGGGCAUUCUCCUAAACUGGGGAGAAACCAAAAUGCCCAGAAGUUCAAUUCUGCAACUGUCAUCAUCCAAAAUGCCAAAUGAGGGAAGCAAAGUGUGCUGGAUUCUAUAUGGUUCAGAAGGGGUGGUUAAUUUGAUUGACUCUCGGGAGCUCUUUUUCUAGUGCUAAGUAAUGCUAGGGAGCCCAUAUGUGAUCAUCUCUGAAUAAAUAAAGAAGUGAAAUUGCAAUUGAAA